CCGAGCGAUCCUGGGGCCUGCCGGCAGCAGCUCUGAGUGCUGCUGGAUUAAAUAAUCCCACCCGGGAGGAAGGCGGGUUUAGCGCUCCCGGGUCAUAAACUUUCCCGGGAGGAGCCCUGCAGUUCGAAGGGAAAGCUCAGCUGUCCCCUGAGGUCCCUUUGCCAGUGGGGGCUCCCUCCCUGGGGAGGAGGAAGAGGGGGGAGAUGGAGCCGAGCAAAGAAGGGGGACAAGGACCUGCAGGGUGGACGUGGGGCUGCCCCGGGAGAGCUGCCUCUGCGAUUCCUUGGAUCUGUGCCUCCCUGUGCCUCUGCAGGAUGUCGGCUUGACUAGCAAUGAGAGGCGUUAAAUGGUGCCCUUCAUCCCCCGCCGCGGCUCCCCCUCGCCCUCACCCGCCUUGUUUUGCAGAGCAGGAGCUGCCGCCUGGAACGCGCCGCAGCAGCUGCAUCCUGUCGUUCCAGGGGCGCAGGAUGCAGGCUGGGCCGCCCCCGGCACCUGGGUGCCCUCCGGAUGGGCCGGAUUCCGUGCCCGGGGCUGCAGCAAGAUCCCACGGCUUCUCCCUGGGCAGCGCUGCUGGGUGCUCAGCCCUUUCCCCAGGGCACAGGGUGCCUUGUGCCCCUUCCCUGGCUGCAGGGUGCUGCUCCAGGCUCCUUUCCUGGCUGAAGGGUGCUGCUCCCGGACCUUUUCUUGCAUGGAGGGUUCUUCAGACCCCUUCUUCCAGGCUCCUGGAUCUUGCUCCGUAUCAUGCGAUGAAGGAAUUUCAGCAGAUCUGGAGCUGCACUGGCACAAGCAGGUCCUGAACCCUGUGUCCCUGGUCAGCCCUGGGGUGAUACCCUGGAGUGGGGGGGUGUGUCCUGGUGUUCCUUGUGCUGUCCCCAAGGCUUCCUCUGGACUGUGGGCGAGCACAACAGGGCCCAUCCCACUGCCUCUGCCCAGGGCAGGGGCUGUGGAAGCACAUUUCAGCUCCAAGAGGCUGGAAAAAUGUGUGAGGAGGGAUUUAGUGCCUGCCUGGGACCAUUGCAGUUAUCUGAACCAGGAGCAGGGGGAGAAGGGAAGCUUUUAGGUUGCUAAUCAUGAAAUUUUAUGGCAGCCUGGAGAGGCUGUUGCCAAACCACAACACACCCAGGCACGCACACACACAAAUCAGCUGCAGGACGCCCCGACUUCCCCUCAUGUGAGCAGAGCUGCUGGAGAGCCAGGGGGUCAGAGCGAGCCCUCUCGGUGCUGCCUUACACCCUGGCCUCUCCUUGGGAGCCAAAAAGCUUUUACAGCCUCUCAGACCUUGCCUGUAAUGUCCAAGGCCACUCAUAAAACACGACGAGGCACAGCGUUACUGGAGGACGCUUCAAAGGAACCUGGAGGGCAAGAAGACAGGCAGAGCCCCAGCAAAACUCUUCUCUGCAAAUCACCCGGAGCCCUGGAUGGAUUUCCAGGCAGCCUGAGAGGUUGUUAAUUCACGCCCUGAUGAUGAACUUAAUUUUGUCUCCUGC
This 1487-nucleotide long non-coding RNA is filed under the name Chloebia gouldiae (Gouldian finch). RNAcentral's name for it is "Erythrura gouldiae (Gouldian finch) lncRNA (ENSEGOG00005013194.1)". Lineage: Eukaryota; Metazoa; Chordata; Aves; Passeriformes; Passeridae. The record is from RNAcentral.